This 347-nucleotide transfer-messenger RNA is filed under the name Candidatus Yanofskyibacteriota bacterium. RNAcentral's name for it is "Candidatus Yanofskybacteria bacterium transfer-messenger RNA". It matches the Rfam family "transfer-messenger RNA". From Rfam's summary of the family: Bacterial tmRNA, also known as 10Sa RNA or SsrA, is named for its dual tRNA and mRNA-like properties. Its role is to liberate the mRNA from a stalled ribosome. To accomplish this part of the tmRNA is used as a reading frame that ends in a translation stop signal. RNAcentral also lists the same sequence under 1 other name. Lineage: Bacteria; Candidatus Yanofskyibacteriota. The record is from RNAcentral.
GGGGAUGUAGGUUUCGAUAGAGAUAAAGUUCAUUUAGAGGCAGGGGAAGAAUGGCUAUCACCUUCUAAAACUUUAGCCAAAACAAGAAGUGCCAAUCAAAAUUACGCACUCGCUUACGCUUAAUAUAGCUUGAGCCGUUUUGCCCUCAAUUCUCACUAGAGGGACAAGGCGUCAUUAGUGAGAUAUGUUGGCAGUCCACAGUCUUGAGGGCUGUCAAUGAAACUAACCAAGACAAUUGUCUGGUUAUUUUGUUUGCUUCUAUCUAGACAAUUAAAAAAGCAAACUAACCCUGUAGUCUCUGAUUGUCUUCGUCUUUAGACGGGGUUUCAAUACCCCCAUCUCCACAU